AGCAGCCGCGGUAAUUCCAGCUCCAAUAGCGUAUAUUAAAGUUGUUGCAGUUAAAAGCUCGUAGUUGAAUUUCGGGAUCAGUUGGUCGGUCGUGCCUCGGUACGUACUGGUCAAAUUGAUUCCUACCUUCUGACGAACCACGAUGUCAUUAAUUUGGUGUCGUGGGAAAUCAGGACUGUUACUUUGAAAAAAUUAGAGUGUUUAAAGCAGGCUCGCGCUUGAAUACAUUAGCAUGGAAUAAUGGAAUAGGACGUUUGAUUCUAUUUUGUUGGUUUCUAGGAUCGACGUAAUGAUUAAUAGGGAUAGUUGGGGGCAUUAGUAUUCAAUUGUCAGAGGUGAAAUUCUUGGAUUUAUUGAAGACUAACUACUGCGAAAGCAUUUGCCAAGGAUGUUUUCAUUAAUCAAGAACGAAAGUUAGGGGAUCGAAGACGAUCAGAUACCGUCGUAGUCUUAACCAUAAACUAUGCCGACUAGGGAUCGGAUGAUGUUAAUUUUUUAAUGACUCAUUCGGCGCCUUACG
Molecule: unclassified non-coding RNA, 520 nt
Filed under: uncultured Glomus
Lineage: Eukaryota; Fungi; Glomeromycota; Glomeromycetes; Glomerales; Glomeraceae
Description: SSU rRNA
Rfam family: Eukaryotic small subunit ribosomal RNA
Source: RNAcentral